UAUUCUUCGAAUGUUCUAGAA
Molecule: unclassified non-coding RNA, 21 nt
Filed under: Dictyostelium discoideum
Lineage: Eukaryota; Evosea; Eumycetozoa; Dictyosteliales; Dictyosteliaceae
Source: RNAcentral